RNAcentral lists this ribosomal RNA (253 nucleotides) under uncultured bacterium. RNAcentral describes it as "partial 16S ribosomal RNA". It matches the Rfam family "Bacterial small subunit ribosomal RNA", at positions 524 to 776 of the family's 1533-position model. The record is from RNAcentral.
UACAGAGGUCCCAAGCGUUGUUCGGAUUCACUGGGCGUAAAGGGUGCGUAGGUGGCAGGGUAAGUUUGAUGUGGAAUCUCCGAGCUUAACUCGGAAACUGCAUUGAAUACUAUCCUGCUCGAGGGUUGGAAGGGGGACUGGAAUUCUCGGUGUAGCAGUGAAAUGCGUAGAUAUCGAGAGGAACACCAGUGGCGAAGGCGAGUCCCUGGACAACACCUGACACUGAGGCACGAAAGCUAGGGGAGCAAACAGG